AUUUUUUUCUCGCGGUUUUCUUUCGCGUCACGCACGACGGACUAAGCGAAAGAGGGACUACUCGUAGUCUAGUUUGACUGUAACUCUAUCGCACCCUGGGAUUUACUUUACGCAUCCAACCGUUUGAUUGACAGCAGCUGAAAUCUGCAAAGUGACUCAAGUAUUCCGAGAGCUAAAUCUGUUGACCAAUCAAAACCGACUAGUUCUAGACAUGCAAAUUACAUUAUGCCGCGCGUUGAUAAAUUGGGUAUUGUAAGCAUGGUAAGUACAUGUCGCGAAAAACAGUAGCAUUCUGGGCGAUGGAUUACUGAAGAAAAACUUCCGAGCAGCAAUUGCAGAAGAGUUAAACAUCGUUCCUGUAUCUACAUGUCAAAGGCAUCCUAGGGCUUUAAAUUACCAUGGUGAAGUGCACUUUUUUGAGAAAAAGUGCCAUACACAUGGGUGCUACAUUCCUGAUGUUGAUUUCCCUACUUUCCAUGCUAGCUUGGCUAAUAACGACAGAUCAAAGAUUUAACUAUCAAGUUAUUCAGGUAUUCCAGGAUAGGUUCUUAAUCCAAAUGACUUCCAGACAAAAGGAAGCUACAACAAAGAUUCAGGAAUAUUGUGCGGAAUAUGGAAAAGAUUCAAGUGAAAAAGAUCUCGAUUUCUCAAACUUUAUUGUGCUGGAGAAGUCUAAACUUGUAUACUGUACGGUUCCCAAGGUGGCCUGUACAGUCUGGAAGCGAAUACUGGCCAACUUAGAGGGCCACAACAUUACACAAGGCGU
Orbicella faveolata is the source of this 766-nucleotide long non-coding RNA. NCBI's taxonomy places the organism in Eukaryota, Metazoa, Cnidaria, Anthozoa, Scleractinia, Merulinidae. The record is from RefSeq and is a predicted model, not a curated record.